Molecule: non-coding RNA, 1878 nt
Organism: Equus caballus (horse)
Lineage: Eukaryota; Metazoa; Chordata; Mammalia; Perissodactyla; Equidae
Source: RefSeq, a predicted model, not a curated record
GCGGGGGUGGGGGAGGGGGCGUUUAUUGAGCUUUCCCUCGGGGAGCGGGAACCUAACUUGCCUUAGUGCUGCAGAAUCAGAAAGCGCGCGAGGGCGCCCACUCCCGGGACAGUAGGAAGAAAGGGGAAGGGCACCAACGUGCAAGGGGCAGGCAUCCAAACUUCAGGAAGAAAGCUUGGUUUCCCCCGGCUCGGCUUGGUCCUCCUCCUCUUUCCACUGCCUGGGAAACCGCCCUCGGGUGCUCUCCGGCCUCUGGGACAGACAGGAAAGAAAACUCCUAAGCACGGGAGGAUCUUAUUCCCUGACUCGCUUUUGGUUGCAAAGCCAGUCACCUGACCUCAGAGAUCUUUGCAAGGGUUUACGAACUGCAUCUUGUUGUUUUCCAAAGCAGGGGUCUGUGGUCUGUGGUCCGGAUGGACACCGACUGACUGAACCGGCGCCUCGCGAUGGGCAUGGAAGCCGCUUCCGCCCCCAAGCCCAUCAGAGGGCCGUGGUCAACGCCCUCCCCCCGCCCGUUUCCUCAACAGCCCCUCCAAAUCUCCAUCGCCUGCCUCAAGCGGGAUCGUCCUCAUACCGUUCGGGACCCGAAGAGAUCAGAGGCCAGCUAGUCAAGAACUCUCCGUUUCCCGCACCCCCCCACCCCCGUUUGAACGUCCCUCUAUUUCUCUCCACCCACCCCUCCCCUUUCCCUUUGGGGUUUUCCAGGAAGAGGGAUUCAGCUUGGCAGUUCCAGGGUCCCGGCUCCACGUGGGUGCCCUGGGAACCAUCUGCUCAGCCUCCCCCUAAGAUCUCGUUGCCUCAGUUUGCCAGCUGCUUUCUCUUCGGCCCGUCUCUUUCCUUAAGCCGCUGAGCACACCCAAGUUCUCUCCCGGCAUCCACACCUCUCCUUUCUGCUCCUCCACCACCGCCUUCUCUCUCUACCUUUCACGGCUAAGCUGCUGCCAAAAGACCUCGACUCCUUCCUCGUCAGCCAUCCAGUCAUCGGCUCGUCUCUCACCGGCUCCUCGAAAGACUCCCCAAAUCUCGUCGCCGUCCCGUCCUAGCAAGAGGCCAGGGCACGCCCUUCGGUUCCUUCGUCUUCCUAAACUCUCUGUGGUGUCUGAGGAAUGCUGCCCACGUCUUCAGUCUCUGCAAGUUCUCUCCACCCUCUUUCUCUGGGGGAUGGCCCCCUCCCCAGGUGCCCUUCCUAACCUCAGACCCCUCUGUCUCACUUUCCUCUGCGGCUUCUCCUCCCGACCACUUCUCAAAGGGUUCUGUUCUCGAAGGCACGGUCUUCAGGGAACAGGAACCCCUCGGGUCUCAGAGCAAGCUCAUGCGCUCUCCUACGAUUCGACUCGCCCCCCGGAUGCCCAGGGCUUCUGAGUGCGUACGACUGACGUCACCCUGCCCCUGACUCCACGCUGCUUUCUCUAACUGUCUGCUGGACGCACCUCUCAGGAUGUCCAAAGGCUUCUCAAAACCGACACGUCCAAAAGGGAGCCCGAACAACAGGAAGACGGCAGAUCAGAGAGCAGCUUGAAUGGCAGCCCCCCCCCGCCCCGCCCCCGGCCCCGCCGAGCGGACAUCGUGCAGAGGCUUGGACCAGCUGAAAUGACGGAUCGCCCACUUCCCGCGUCACGGACAGAGAUCCUCGGCGUGCAACACGUCGAACCCCACUGACUUCGCACUUGUGACCCACGAAGAAAUACCAGUGACAGUCGCACCUGAGCAGAGGACUCUUCAAGCUUCACCCCCAGCGCUCUCCUGGUCCCACCCCUACCCCGAACCCCAGAUAAACGCCCCAACGUUUUGUUUUCCCUUUGAGGAGGCGGGUUUGAGUUUUACUCCCACCUCCUUGUCUGGCCGCCUCUUGAUCAUAAACCUCUUUCCUUGCUGCAA